Molecule: transfer RNA, 76 nt
Filed under: Chloroflexota bacterium
Lineage: Bacteria; Bacillati; Chloroflexota
Also listed under: 2 other names
Description: Chloroflexi bacterium (soil metagenome) tRNA-Gly
Rfam family: tRNA
About the family: Transfer RNA (tRNA) molecules are approximately 80 nucleotides in length.
Source: RNAcentral
GCGGGAGUAACUCAGUUGGCAGAGUGUCUGCUUCCCAAGCAGAAUGUCGAGGGUUCGAAUCCCUUCUCCCGCUCCA